Molecule: non-coding RNA, 180 nt
Filed under: Psychrobacillus sp. FJAT-21963
Lineage: Bacteria; Bacillati; Bacillota; Bacilli; Caryophanales; Bacillaceae
Also listed under: 1 other name
Description: Lysine riboswitch aptamer
Rfam family: Lysine riboswitch aptamer
About the family: Riboswitches are metabolite binding domains within certain messenger RNAs that serve as precision sensors for their corresponding targets. Allosteric rearrangement of mRNA structure is mediated by ligand binding, and this results in modulation of gene expression. This family includes riboswitches that sense lysine in a number of genes involved in lysine metabolism, including lysC.
Source: Rfam by way of RNAcentral
AGUGAAGAUAGAGGUGCGAAUUGACAAGAGUACUCAGCAGAAGGAUGAAAAGAUCCUGUGAUGGUUGAGGAAAGGGUCGUUCGCCGAAACAUAGAAAAGCUUUUCCUUUUCUUAUGUUGGUUCUGCAUUUAAUAAAUGUAGAAUUGUCAGAAUGCAAUAUUCUGGAGGGCUAUCUCACAU